GUUUAAAUAACCUCAUCAACACGUCAGGUCAAGGUGCAACUUAUGAAAUGGGAAGAGAUGGGCUACACUCUCUAAUAUAGAAUAUACGAAAAACUAACUAUGAAAACUAGUUGGAAGGUGGAUUUAGAAGUAAAAAGAGAUCAGAAAACUCUUUUUAACACGGCACUGGGGUGUGUACACACCGCCCGUCACCCUCUUCGCAGCAACACAGUAGUAUUUAACACACAAAAGCACAGUAGAAGAGGUAAGUCGUAACAUGGUAAGUAUACCGGAAGGUGUGCUUGGAAA
This 288-nucleotide ribosomal RNA is filed under the name Hyloscirtus platydactylus. RNAcentral's name for it is "partial 12S ribosomal RNA". It matches the Rfam family "Bacterial small subunit ribosomal RNA", at positions 1162 to 1522 of the family's 1533-position model. The record is from RNAcentral. Lineage: Eukaryota; Metazoa; Chordata; Amphibia; Anura; Hylidae.